This 492-nucleotide ribosomal RNA is filed under the name uncultured bacterium. Its description in RNAcentral is "partial 16S ribosomal RNA". It matches the Rfam family "Bacterial small subunit ribosomal RNA", at positions 29 to 507 of the family's 1533-position model. The record is from RNAcentral.
AGUGAACGCUGGCGGUAGGCCUAGCACAUGCAAGUCGAACGGCAGCACAGUAAGAACUUGCUCUUACGGGUGGCGAGUGGCGGACGGGUGAGGAAUACAUCGGAAUCUACUUUUUCGUGGGGGAUAACGUAGGGAAACUUACGCUAAUACCGCAUACGACCUACGGGUGCAAUCCGGGGAUCUUCGGACCUUGCUCGAUUGAAUGAGCCGAUGUCGGGUUAGCUAGGUGGCGGGGUAAAGGCCCACCAAGGCGACGAUCCGUAGCUGGUCUGAUAGGAUGAUCAGCCACACUGGAACUGAGACACGGUCCAGACUCCUACGGGAGGCAGCAGUGGGGAAUAUUGGACAAUGGGCGCAAGCCUGAUCCAGCCAUACCGCGUGGGUGAAGAAGGCCUUCGGGUUGUAAAGCCCUUUUGUUGGGAAAGAAAAGCAGCAGGUUAAUACCCCGCUGUUCUGACGGUACCCAAAGAAUAAGCACCGGCUAACUUCGUG